Molecule: ribosomal RNA, 216 nt
Filed under: uncultured bacterium
Lineage: Bacteria
Description: partial 16S ribosomal RNA
Rfam family: Bacterial small subunit ribosomal RNA
Source: RNAcentral
GAUUAACGCUGGCGGCGUGCAUGAAACAUGCAAGUCGAGCGCGGUGCGAGCUUGCUCGCAUCUAGCGGCGCACGGGUGAGUAACACGUGAGCAACCUACCUCGGAGCCCGGGAUAGCCCUGAGAAAUCAGGAUUAAUACCGGAUGAUGUCACCGUGGGGCAUCCCAUGGCGAAGAAAGGCUUCGGCCACUCCAAGACGGGCUCGCGGCCUAUUAGC